RNAcentral lists this non-coding RNA (25 nucleotides) under Cricetulus griseus (Chinese hamster). Lineage: Eukaryota; Metazoa; Chordata; Mammalia; Rodentia; Cricetidae. The record is from RNAcentral.
UUGUGUGUUUGGUUUUUGAGGAAGG